RNAcentral lists this ribosomal RNA (282 nucleotides) under uncultured Lachnospiraceae bacterium. Its description in RNAcentral is "partial 16S ribosomal RNA". The stretch from base 44 to 282 matches the Rfam family "Bacterial small subunit ribosomal RNA", at positions 100 to 339 of the family's 1533-position model. The record is from RNAcentral. Lineage: Bacteria; Bacillati; Bacillota; Clostridia; Lachnospirales; Lachnospiraceae.
UUUGAUCGAUUUCUUCGGAAUGAAGUUUUAGUGACUGAGUGGCGGACGGGUGAGUAACGCGUGGGUAACCUGCCUCACACAGGGGGAUAACAGUUGGAAACGGCUGCUAAUACCGCAUAAGCGCACAGUACCGCAUGGUACAGUGUGAAAAACUCCGGUGGUGUGAGAUGGACCCGCGUCUGAUUAGAUAGUUGGUGGGGUAACGGCCCACCAAGUCGACGAUCAGUAGCCGACCUGAGAGGGUGACCGGCCACAUUGGGACUGAGACACGGCCCAAACUCC